GAAUAAUAAUUUGUCUUAGGUGCCCCGUCAAAGGGAGAAUAGGGAACCGGGUGUGACUCCCGGGCGGGCCCGCCACUGUAAAGGUAAGCCAAUGUCAAGAACCACUCCAGUUUUGGGGGAAGGGGCAUUAUGGCGAUGAGUCUAAGUCAGGAGACCUGCCUAAGACAAGAGAGACCU
RNAcentral lists this non-coding RNA (177 nucleotides) under Desulfosporosinus sp. The record is from RNAcentral. Lineage: Bacteria; Bacillati; Bacillota; Clostridia; Eubacteriales; Desulfitobacteriaceae.